AACAUUGCAAUACAAGACUCCUUAUCUAUGAGUUUUACAUAACAAUGUAAGACUAUAGACAUUUCUAGUCAUCUCCAAGUGUUCCAAAACAUGUCAUGAAUCAAGCUACCUUUUAUUCAAUGAAUCUGCAGUAAUGUAGAUGAAAUGCCAAAGCAUGAAAAUGUGCAAGAAUCAGUUCAUUGAAAAAUAUAUCCCUAAAUUUGCAAAACAUAGAGGAAAUUACCAAUGCCCAGUA
Molecule: unclassified non-coding RNA, 235 nt
Filed under: Hevea brasiliensis (rubber tree)
Lineage: Eukaryota; Viridiplantae; Streptophyta; Magnoliopsida; Malpighiales; Euphorbiaceae
Source: RNAcentral